This 4375-nucleotide long non-coding RNA is filed under the name Cucumis sativus (cucumber). RNAcentral describes it as "long non-coding RNA (CSAT_LNC002633)". The record is from RNAcentral. Lineage: Eukaryota; Viridiplantae; Streptophyta; Magnoliopsida; Cucurbitales; Cucurbitaceae.
UUUUUUUUUUUUUUUUUGUGAAGUUUUAUUUAUUAAAAAUGUAAUAUUUGAAAAAAAGAAUUAAAAGAAAAAAGAAAAAAGUGGGAAGGUAUAGGAUUGAUGGAAUUGAGCUGGCAUGGUCCUAGGUGCUGACGUCACAACCCUGUCCUUCUCAAUUAGGCUCUUAAAUUAUGCUUACGUGUAUUUCUAUUUACCCAAAUCAAAACUCAUUUUAACCCCUCCAACCCUACAUUCCUCUCCUUCUCAAUUACCAUAAUACCCUUCUCCUUCCAUAUACAUGCAAAUAUCAAUAUGUCCAUAUAAAUUCAAUAUCUUUUCAUAUUCCAAGUUUUUUUUUUUAUUAAAAAGAUUUAUAGGAAAAAUAUCUUUCUUUUUUCUUUCAAAUUGUUAUAUUACAUUUUACCUCAAGUGAUGAGAUUUUCAAAAAAUAGUAUUUAGUAAAAGAAAUCAUGCAAAUCUUCAUAUUUUUAUAUCUAAUUCAAAUAAAAUUGAAAUGUUAAGAACUAAAUAUGUAAUGGUAUGAAUGUUAAGAAGCAAAUAUAAAUUAGAUGUAAAGAUUAUAAAUUAAAAAAAGCUUUUUUUUUUUUUUUGUUAUAGUUUUGUGUAAUUAUAAUAUAAAAUAUUGGGAAAAAGAAAAGGUAGGAGAGGACAGACUUUAAGACAGUAGCAUUCUAAUGUAUUCUAAUGUUAGUGUCAGAGAAAAGUACUUUUGGUUGCCAUUUGGGUUAAAUUAGGUCAACAAAUGGUUUCAUUCUUUAUAGGAAAAAAAAAAUACAACUAAAUGAAAUAGAUAGUAAUUAGCAUUUAUAAUAAAGUUGAAUCUGGUUUAAUUAAGUUUUGCUUCUAAAGUUUAGAUUUUUUAAUGUUUAAAAAGUAUCUAAUAAAUCUUUAAACCAAGGAGAUGUGAAGUUAUGAAGUAGGGAAGGGGGAAAGGGCAAAAGAGUGAAUAAGAGGUUACAGCUAAGGCAAAGUGAGUGAGGGGUGAGGCGCCGAAACCAUUUAUGCCUUUUUGCGCCGUUAGGCUCUGUCUUUGGAAGAUAUGAUCCUGUUUGGCUACACCUAUUCACUUUAUUCUUAUCCCUAAUAAUUCUCGUUUCUUCCUCCUUCCUUCUUCCUUCUUCCCAACUCCUCCACUGCACUCCAACACAAACAAAACCCCUCUUUAAAAAAUAUAGAAACCUACAUCCAAUUUUAAAUUUAUAAAUUUUAUCUUUUUAUUAUUUGCUAAAUUGGAAAUUAUAAUUCUAACUUUUAUUAAUAAUAAAAAAAAAGUUUAGCGAUAGAGAAGAGAAGGAUAGGAAUUUCAAAGGGGAAUUCCAUUGGUCAAAGGUAAGUGAUGGGUUAUGUGUAAUGUCUCUCUCUCUCUCUCUCUAUUGCGAAAUAAUGAUAAUGUGUUUCUCUUUAGGAACACAAAAAUAGGUAAGGGUAGAAUUUGGAAUCUCAUUCCCUUUCUUUCUCUUUGUCACUUCUCAUUUACUUAAUUCAUUCCCAAAGACCAUAACCCAUCAAUUCUCUUCUUAAUUACACCCCCCAAAAAAAAAAAAAACAUUCUCCUUAUUAAAUCUCUCUCAAUUCCAAUCUUAAUACAAAUUAAUUAAUUUACUCUCUUAAUUUAAAUUUAAAUAAUUCCUAAAAUGGUAGAGAGGGCAAAUUUGGAAUAGAGAGAGAGAGAAAUGAAAACAAACAAACAAAAAGCUGUGCUCUUUCAUCACGACAGUUUGCUCAACCUCUUUAUUUAAUCUCUCUUUUCUUUUCAAUUUCUUUCUUAUGUAAUCUUUUAAUUUAAUAAAUAAAUAAAGGUGUGGGCCAAUGAAAUUUUUAUCUCAUUUAUUUAAGAAUUGUAUAGAUGCAAAUCAUUCAUUCUUCCUUCAUAAAAUUCAAAUUUAUGUAUAUAUAAUGUAGUAUGGUCUAGCACAUUCCACUACAUCACAUCUUAAUUAAUUAAUACGCUUUCUAACAUUUUUCAAAUGUCAAAAAAUGGAAACAUUAUGCUAAAUGCUAAGCACUAACGUGAGCCUUUGUCAACAUAUAAUUAUAUAAAUAAAUGUAAUUUUUUAAUUAAUCUAUACAAUUAUAUGAUGUGAUUAUAUAUGUCUAACCUUGUUAUAUGGUUUUUAUAUAAUUGGGUUUAGUCACGUUAUUAGGGGAUCCAAUGCUCUAUGUUCAUCUUUUUUAUUCAUUCCACUAAAUUAUUCUUCUUUACUUACUCCUUUCAUAUAAUUGAUUCAUUUCUCUUCCAAUGUCUCAUAAGUUUAUAAUUAUUUUCUUUUCAUGUUUUUAGUGAAACAAAAAGAUACCAUUUUCUUUUCAAUUUUGGAUAAUUACAUUAUGGGUUUUGUCUUUAGACCAUCAGAAUGUGAUUCUAAUUUGAUUCUCUCUGAUUUUCUUUUUUUCUUUUUUUUUUCUACAAUAAUAAUUGUAAUUAACAUAGUUCAUAAUAAUGCUAAUCUCAAUAAUACAAAAUAUGAUUGACAUCAUUUAUAUUUUGUUUAAUUAUGGUCAAGUUUUUAAUGUGUAUUUCUGGAUGAAACAUACAUUAUUUUAUUAUGAAUUACACUUAUCUUUGUGCAGCUCACUCAAGUGUUCAAUCACAAAUUGUCACGUGACAAAUUUAAAAAAAUACUAUAUUUUUUUAAUACCUAAUUUUUCUUUGUGUGAUUGAACUGUAUCUAUGAAUUACUAUUUUUUUCAUACUCUCCAAUCACGUAGAUUGAAUUAUUCUCCUUCGAUAUCUCUUACUUUCUUCUUAUCUACCAUCAAUGAGCUCCAAUGUCACGCUAAGACUAACCACUUUAUUCUCUUAAAAUCAAACAAACUAAUGUAGUUUGUCCUAAAGAUAGAGUCGAUUCGUUCCAUUUAAUUGUCGAGAACCUCAUCUUGAAAAGAUGAAAUUUCUAUGAAAUACAUGAAUUACUUAGCUUAUUGCUAAUUUUUCUUUAGAGAUAGUUGUAAAUCUAGCAAUCAAGUUCAAGGCAAUUUGAUAUAACGAAUUUAGAUGGGGGAUUGUCGUGGAUAAAUUUUGUUUUAUUUGUGAUUCUUUUAAAAUAACUCUUAGCUAUGAAAAUUGUACGACUUGUAACUACCUUUUGUAUUAGGAUUAAUGGGUAUUGAUCCAAGAGAAAAAUUUAUGAACUCAGAGAGAUUAAUAGGCUGUUGAAGUUAAUUAUAAAUUUAUAGAGAGGAAGACUAAUUAAAAAAGUUGAAACUUGUUAGGAUUUUGAUUUUUUUGAGCUUGGAGUUGAAGUAAAGGGUCACUUCCAUGUGUUCCGCAUUAAGUUAUGUUAAUUCAUCAUUUACGUGGCAGCCAUGAAAGGACAUUCCAAGCUUAAAACUUACAAGAGCUGGUUUGUGGUUGAUGGUGAUAUAACUGAAAUUGACCACGACCUAGGGUUUUAGUCUCACUGUAGAAGUUGAAACAACCCUAGCUCACUGUUUAUUAUUUCAACAAAAACAUAAGAAGAAAGGAAUCUCCAUUUGUUUUUGGUUUAUCGCUACUACAUCUACAUGUAAUCGUAACAUAUGAACCGUGGAGUUUACUAUUACGAGGAUUGCACCAAUUUUAAAUACUGAUUAGAUGUACAAAAUUGACACCUCUCAUCUUUGAGCUUUUAGUUAGCUAGUGAAGAAACACAAACCGUAUUCAAAGAAAGAAGUUAAGAGAUUGUGUUAGGCCCCCGAUGUGAGAAGAAAGAAAAGGGUUCAUGGGCUCAGUAACUAAAGGACCUUCUUAUUGGGAAUUGCUGAAUUGUUUUGGGCCAUUUUAGCCGUUGGAGGUUAGUUUGGUUUGAUGUCUGACAUGUAAUCUUGUUUUGAGGGCAACGCCUGUUCCUAUGUGUACUUAGAUAGGUCUGGCGCUUCUCGAAUCCAGCCGGUUGGCUUCUAACUUAUCGUUUAAGUAAUUGAAAUAUCACAAAUUGAGUAAAUAAACCAUACGAUAAUACUAAUCAAUCUCAGCUACUUCGGUCAAAACCCAAAUCAAACGAAUCGGUAAGACAUGAGAGUUUGACAGUAGAAUGGAAUUUAGGAUGAAACUAAUAUUAGAAGCCAUGAAAGUAGUUGAUAAUUCUAGCACAAUCCUCACAGGUCUACAUAACAACUUGGGCAAAACAACCACGAAAACUCAGGAACAUUAUAUUUAUUACUACCACGCGCUCAACUAACUCUUAUAAUAAACUUGAAAAAACUAGAUCUUGAAGAAGAUCAGGAUAACAGUACAUAUUGUGUAGAUACAUACAGGAGUCCAUCCAGCAUGAUCAAGCUAGUUAGUUCCGGUUGGCACAUUUUAGUUGCUUUGACGUAGUUCUGGGCGAACAAAAUCGGCAUCAGCUGGAACAGAAAUGUCAACAGUAGGUCUCAACUGGGCGCAAACUUCAAU